GUUGGCCUCUAUUGUUUGCAAAUGAGUGCAGCAGUCUGUCUCCUUGGGUUUCUUUUCCAUUUUGGACGUGUGUGGCUUGACUUUGAAUUCAUCUCUCUUUGAUGUGAAGAUCGACCUUGAUGUACAUGUACAUGUGUAAUAACCUUGUCAUGCGUUGUGUGUGUUUGGAUUUCAGCUUGGCUGUGGCCUAGCGCCUGGGAGUCCUCGUCGCCUAGCCAGCAACGAACGAACGACCGCAAGUCCGUCGAUAAAACUUAAGACUUCCGGGCACAGAGGACGUUACAUCCAUUUGAAGAAUGCCUCAUAAAACAAACUGCACGCUCCCAGCGGACCAGACAAACACUGUCACCGUCGUCAACAGCGUCGACAGCGCCAUCAGGCCACAAAAUAGUUGUGACCGCUUACCACUGCCAGAAGUGUCGGAAGGGACUCGUGAAAAUACGCUGGACCGCAGAAGCACAAAUCACGUAGCCGAUGCACCGAAGAAACCAUGGGGGCCCUUUUUCCGUAGUAGAGCAGAGUUUCUGGAACUGCAUCUUGUGUGAAGAAUUAGGGACGCAAUUCAGUGCCAAAUCAGUCUUUGCCAAAAUAAACGAAGAAGUGCCCUUUGGAGGCGACUGAUCAGAAACCUGCUAAAUACUUAUAACGGAGUCCUCCAAUACUGUGAAAACAAAACUUUCCCGAGCUGUGAGAUGGUCUUGUGGUGAUGGGCACCGGGUUGCACUGUUCCAGUUUGUAUCGCUCUCAGGGGAAAAGCUCACACUGUUGAAUUUCAUGUACUUUUGUUAUAACAUUACACAUGUUUACUGAGCUAACCCUUCAGUUUUCUGGCCAACGCGGCAUUUCAACCUUUUUUUUUCAAAAGAUUAGUAUCCGUUUUAGUCCCUUUUUACAUUAAUUAUGUUAGUUGGUUUGCUUGUGAAGGCUUUUUGGCUUUCGUCAAACUCCUCUUUGAAUGAUACUUUAACGUUUUAACGUUUUCGGCUCUGCACCCUUGAUUUCAAAUCGCUUAUAUAACAUACCUCUUGCUCGUCCCUACCGCUCUUAAGCUCACAGAACGCAGGAACUUACGGCAAAUGCGUUCCACAAUAUUAUUGCUUGUUAAGGAAAUACUCAUGUAUGCGUACAAGUAAAUCGCAUGGACACGCAAAGCAUUGUGGCUUACUGACUGUCCUAAUCCAUACAUGUACAUUAAUGCGGAUGUUGACAAUGUUGCAUAAACACUGCCUAUUGAGUACUCGACAAACAUUACGCCAUGCAUUUGCGCUCUCCCCCUGUAGGACAGUGGGGAAGAGCGACAAAUACCUCCAGAUUUCCAGUUUUUGAGAGGGGAAAUAAUUGGUUAUUUAACCCCAUUAAAGCUCUUGAAUUCAAGGGCGGAUCCAGGGGCCAACGGGACCACCGCCCAAAAAAUAUCAAAAUUGUUUUUUAGAAUUGAUUGAGGAGCUCCCAUCAAAGUAUGGACACUGGUGUGUUUUUAACAUCAGCUAUAACCAUGUUUGGCUUUUCAUGAUAACCUUGGCAAACAUUGCACGAUGUGUGUGGUGGGGCAAGGGUGAAAUGCGAGGUCCCUGUAACAAAGGAGUUCACUUUUUCGUCUUUGAAAAAUAACAAGGAAAAAACAUUUUGGGAGAACCGUUUCACUUCCCUUCCUUAUACGUAAAAGCACGUACCGUUAUUGUACAUGUAUAAAGCCCCUAAAUUUAUCCUCACCACGCAGAAAGACCAUAAAAAUUAAAUGAAAAAAAAAUCCAAAUUUUUGCCCCCCAAAAAGGUUUCCCCCCUCCCCCAAUUUGGAUCUGGAUCCGCCCCUGCCUGACUGCAAAGGUAUAUAUAUGUCUUUUAGGGCGUGGAUGCUGGCUCCAUAUGGAGUCAAAUGCCACUGUUUUUUUGUAAUUACUUUGUAUGCCUAUAGUUUGAAUCGGUAAUCGGUAUAGUUUGAAUUGGUAAUCAGAAUUAGAAGCCAUUACUGCGGUGGCACAACGCUCGUGGACAGGUGGUACGCGCGCGUUACAAGCCUCUUCGACCAAAAGGGUAUCGUGAUUUGCCAAAUGGACGUGCGCGUCAGACUGAAGAAUUUACAAACAGUUGAAAAGAACUAUGGAAGCAGGACAGAAAACAGGAUUUUUAUUACGGAGUUUUGUUCCUUCGUUCUUCUUCUUUUUUCUUUCUUAAAAGCAACGAAAAGUAAAGCUGUAUGACGUAAAGAACAAUAAUUAUAUGUUGAGACAUGUAGCACCCUGGCAUGUAAUACAUAAGGCACAUUGUACCGGGCACAAAGAGCUUUUUCUCUUUAUACUGCAUGUUUGCACCUCAAUUUAUUCAAACCGCAGGUCUAUACAACAUAACACCUUUGAAGUUUAUACAUUAAAGAAAAAUUCUCCAAAUUUUAAAUUAUUUAUUCGCCAAUUAAUUGUUACAUAAUAAAAUGCAUGUUUCCAGAUUUGACAUAUAUGUAUACUACAGAGCCUGAGAGAGUAAAAGAAGAGCAGUAUUUUACAUUAAAGAGUUAUAUACAACUUAAAUGAGCAUGGACAUUGAAAAUAAGCAUAACUGACCAAACAAACUGACGAUCUCACACUUAGGCAUAAUUGAGGACAUUAUGAAUUGGCAAGAUCACUUUGAUUUUGCUCAUGAAAUCAAAAUAAAAAACUUUGUUCAAAGUUUGCUUCAAAAAUGAGCAACAGUAUCCGUUAUAAAAGAAAUCAAAUAAUAACAGGUUAAUAGAGUCAACAAAACCCUACUUGAACUGUUCCCUGACACAACCUUAUCAUGGACGCGCUCUUGCAGGCAGUGUUCUGAACAAAUACGGCAUCAUGGCCUCCACAAGUUAUUUGUCUUUGCCCAGUGAAUAUGCCUCUUCAGUCAUCAAGUGUUUGUUUCUUGAAAUUCUACAAAUAAAGAUAAAUAAAUCAUGUCAUUGAAAAAACUUUGAGCGGGUAAACUAAAUAGUUUCCAAUAAAAAGAUCCUACUACUAAUAGCGACGUAUAUAGGUCCCAAGAUUUGACUGGAAACUGUUCGCUGAAAAAAGGUUUAGGCCCUAUAUAUUUUGUCUGGACAACAAGUGAUAUUGUCAAAACCACACAAAUAAAAUUCCCGCUAUAUUUAUGCCAAGUACAGUACAUGUCAUUCAAAAUCACAUUCACAUUGCUUUGGCUUGUUGAGAUCGGUAUGAUUUUUGCUUUAAAAACCUGAACUUAAGACUGAAAGGCAGGUCCAGCUGCGUUAUUAACAGUUAUUAACAGUCCGGACCGAGGGAAUCCAUUUGCUGUGCAAAAGCGAACAAUUUUUCAGCAAUUUUUCCCUUUAAAAAGAGAGAGAAUUAAGAGCAUCAAAUUCUUCGGCCAGACUAAUUUCCCCGUGCGCAGCAUACGUGUCGCGCGCGCGGUCUGGUGUGAUGACCGCAAUUUAAACUUUCAAACUCUCCCCGAUGAAGGAGAUCAGUGGUGCCACCUUAGUUAUUGCGUCUAAUCGGAUUAGCCCAUAGUUUGUAAUACUUAUACAUAUAGAUGUACAGUACUUCGCAGAUCAAAGUUAACUCUGUGAAUUGGGAUGUGAAAUGUAAAAAAAAAUUUACUUUUCUUGUUCACAUUCUUAUUUCAUAAGGUGUGAAAAUAGUUUCCCACUUGUAUGAAAAGGCGUCAAAAUCCAUAUCUUUUCCCGCUUGUGAAAAUUUUUCCUACUUGUGGAAAAGAAAGCUGUUGCAUCUGCCCAUUGGUGAAAAAAAAGUGUGAAAAAUUUUCCAACUUGUGAAAUAUGUUGCGAAUUUCUUUUUUUUUUACAGAGAGGAAGACAGUGUGAAAAUUUUCCCACAGAAGGGAAACUUUUUCACAAUUUGUGAAAUGAAUAUUCACUUUCCUGGUAAAAGUGUGAACUUUUUUCCCCUUUCAAUUUCAAAGUAUUGUACAAAUAUAUGUAUUUGGAAUGGUUAUUUUUUCUCAGUGUUGGUUUUUCACUCGCAGUUUAGUUGUAGUCUGUGUAGAAUAUGAAGGCCUACGUAUGUUUAAAUACAUGUAUUCCCUUUGGUACGUGUACAUUCAUAAGUGUUGUAUGAAAUGGAUUUUUCAAAGUAACGCUGUUAUUCCCUUUCUUGGGAAAAUUCGAAUAAUGGUUACUACAUUUUUUCGGCAAAAUAUACUGAAUUUCUUCUCAGGCAUAUGUCCACACUUUAAAUGCUGCCAAACAAGUAUGGGUCAAUGAGGGCAUACCCCUAUUGAAUUAAGAAAGUACCCUUUUGCUUCACGGAAAAGCAGGAACAAAUUAUCUCAUAAAAAUUGUGACAAGUAAAAGCUUAGUUACUACAUGCUCUUAGUUGAAACUAGUCAGUGCGACAGCUACUAAUAUAUCUUCCACAGGCGUUUUUUAUAAGAUUCACUGCACUGUGCCCGACGUCAAUGAGAGUUCUUAAUGGGUUUGAAAUAUUGUCAAAGGUUUGUAGUGAAUUGAUUAAAAAUGAGGUUUCCUGUGAACUUACUUUUUUGGGUAAAGGUCAUGCUGGACCGAUCUAUCACCUUUCUCAAGAUUGAACAGGAUAUCCUGACUGAAUGUCUCUAUACCCAAAAGUUACGGUAACUCUUAGGAGUAGUCCUGUCAAAAUUUAAUACGUCAGUUCCGGAAUUCAUUUGAACCAAAUUGAGUAAAAAUAUUGAAUGAGCUAAGUGACUUAUCCUAGACACAGCGUCUCCAAACAUUAGCAUUUUCUAAGGAAUGUGUCAUUUUGGGAUGUUUUUGAAAUGUUCGGAAGUUAAAGUGAAGUUGAUCAAGAUGUGGUCUAGAUACUGUCAUGUUAUGUCACACACAUAUUUCCAUCGGUUGGUCAUCCUUUGAAAGUCCACAAUGUGACAUAGGCUUCCGUCUGAACGUCUUUGCAUGUAAUGUAAGGCCAGGUGAUAUUGAAAAAAACACCACAUUUCUCAAGCUGGCGACGACAGUGCGAGCAGCCUUCAGAAAGAAACUAUUCGGCCAUUCAGGUUCACACCCACACGAUCAAUAUACAUAUAUUAUUGAAAAGGAUGACUGAUCCAUUACAACUCAAUUUUCGAUAGCAAAGUAGAUCCUCCAUUUUGUCAUGGCCCUGUGACAAAUCCUUUAGAAUUCUCAGUCUCGGCAAAUAGCUCAAAGAACAAUGUAAAAACGGAAUUACGGCUUCAAGUCUGCAGCUAUCACAACCAGGUUUCCUCCACGCCUCCGAUAAGCUUACAGACCGGCAGAUUUUCUCAGUUUUGUAAGUAGCCUAUGUUUAUCCAUAAUAUUUUGUUAUCUGAUUCAAUACAGGUCGAAACUAUAUUGUC
This 5292-nucleotide long non-coding RNA is filed under the name Acanthaster planci (crown-of-thorns starfish). Its description in RNAcentral is "uncharacterized LOC110982449". The record is from RNAcentral. Lineage: Eukaryota; Metazoa; Echinodermata; Asteroidea; Valvatida; Acanthasteridae.